GACGAACGCUGGCGGCGUGCUUAACACAUGCAAGUCGAACGGUAAGGCCCUUCGGGGUACACGAGUGGCGAACGGGUGAGUAACACGUGGGUGAUCUGCCCUGCACUUCGGGAUAAGCCUGGGAAACUGGGUCUAAUACCGGAUAGGACCACUGCCUGCCGGGGUGGUGGUGGAAAGCUUUUGCGGUGUGGGAUGGGCCCGCGGCCUAUCAGCUUGUUGGUGGGGUGAUGGCCUACCAAGGCGACGACGGGUAGCCGGCCUGAGAGGGUGACCGGCCACACUGGGACUGAGAUACGGCCCAGACUCCUACGGGAGGCAGCAGUGGGGAAUAUUGCACAAUGGACGCAAGCCUGAUGCAGCGACGCCGCGUGAGGGAUGACGGCCUUCGGGUUGUAAACCUCUUUCAGCACCGACGAAGCGCAAGUGACGGUAGGUGCAGAAGAAGGACCGGCCAACUACGUGCCAGCAGCCGCAGUAA
RNAcentral lists this ribosomal RNA (478 nucleotides) under uncultured bacterium. Its description in RNAcentral is "partial 16S ribosomal RNA". It matches the Rfam family "Bacterial small subunit ribosomal RNA", at positions 28 to 523 of the family's 1533-position model. The record is from RNAcentral.